This is a small nuclear RNA of Marmota marmota marmota (Alpine marmot), 111 nucleotides long. Lineage: Eukaryota; Metazoa; Chordata; Mammalia; Rodentia; Sciuridae. The record is from Ensembl.
GAGCUCAAAGGCCAAACCAGCACAUAUACUAAAAUUGGAAUGAUACUGAGAAGAUUAGCAUAGCCCCUACACAAAGAUGACAUGUGAAAUCCUGAAGCACUCCAUAUGUUU